UUCCUUUUGUUUGGCUGCCUUCGGAAAAAAUUUUUGUUAUCGGUAAGCGCGAAUAUUCGAUCGAAUCUCUCUAAAUUUGCUGCUAGAGCAGAGCAAUCAUCUCGCCGGAAUUAAAAUAAUAAAAAUAAAAACCCGAGGACAUUACUGUUUGUACCAGGUUUUACCAGUGGUUUUACUAUUGGGGCCCUCAUAGUGUUACUGCACGCAGCGAAAAGUAGUGCCAUUGAGAUAAAAAAAAUACAUCUUUGAUUCAAAAACCUCAUGUACAUUGAAACAAAAUCCAUUUUCCUUAAUUCAAGUAAAUUUUAAAUUGAACCGAAUUUUUAUUUCAUUAAACCAAUGUUCCAAAUUUUUGAAUCAAAAGAUUUAAAUUAAAUUCAAGAAAUUUUUUUUUCGACUCUGAAUCAAUGUAAAAAUUCAUUGAUUUAGAUGAAUUUUCUUUUGAAUCAAAGUAUUUUUUCGUCAAACAGUCGACACAUCUUCAUUAGCUUCUGUUUAGUGAACGGGUCGGGCGAGAAGUUUUUCCGACAACCAGUCAGACCAUUUCAUCUCAUGCCGCGCAACAGUCAGACAGCACCGAAAUCACAAGAUCCGGCGUAGGAAAGUCUUGACAACUAGAAGCCAAACGAUAGUGGACUCCUAGGGCAACCAUUCAUCCAACUAAUCGCUUCCGAUCCGGUCCAAGGAUCCAUCUGGCGUCUAAACCCUUCAUGAAUUGUUCGAAAGUAACUGUCCGCCAACAAACAUCGUUCAAUGUGCCGGUUCAAAACUCUGGAAAAAUCGACUGUGUGAACAUGAACUUACAAAU
Long non-coding RNA from Uranotaenia lowii, 808 nucleotides. RefSeq lists it as uncharacterized. The record is from RefSeq and is a predicted model, not a curated record. NCBI's taxonomy places the organism in Eukaryota, Metazoa, Arthropoda, Insecta, Diptera, Culicidae. The transcript has 4 exons.